GGGUGAGUAACACGUGGGCAACCUGCCCCUAGCACUGGGAUAACUCCGGGAAACCGGGGCUAAUACCGGAUAUGACCUUGGAAGGCAUCUUCCUUGGUGUAAAGGAUUCUGGCUAGGGAUGGGCCCGCGGCCUAUCAGCUUGUUGGUGGGGUAACGGCCUACCAAGGCGACGACGGGUAGCCGGCCUGAGAGGGCGACCGGCCACACUGGGACUGAGACACGGCCCAGACUCCUACGGGAGGCAGCAGUGGGGAAUAUUGCACAAUGGGCGAAAGCCUGAUGCAGCGACGCCGCGUGAGGGAUGACGGCCUUCGGGUUGUAAACCUCUUUCAGCAGGGACGAAGCGAAAGUGACGGUACCUGCAGAAGAAGCACCGGCCAACUACGUGCCAGCAGCCGCGGUAAUACGUAGGGUGCAAGCGUUGUCCGGAAUUAUUGGGCGUAAAGAGCUCGUAGGCGGUUUGUCGCGUCGGCUGUGAAAUCGUGGGGCUCAACCCCGCGCCUGCAGCCGAUACGGGCAAACUAGAAUUCGGUAGGGGAGACUGGAAUUCCUGGUGUAGCGGUGAAAUGCGCAGAUAUCAGGAGGAACACCGGUGGCGAAGGCGGGUCUCUGGGCCGAUAUUGACGCUGAGAG
RNAcentral lists this ribosomal RNA (633 nucleotides) under Jatrophihabitans sp. Its description in RNAcentral is "bacterial SSU rRNA". It matches the Rfam family "Bacterial small subunit ribosomal RNA", at positions 104 to 753 of the family's 1533-position model. Lineage: Bacteria; Bacillati; Actinomycetota; Actinomycetes; Jatrophihabitantales; Jatrophihabitantaceae. The record is from RNAcentral.